AACUCUGCUAGAAUAAACUUAAAUUUAGGAGUUAUUUGACAGUUAUUGUUAGUGGUAAUGUAUUAUGUAUUAGGAGAGCAAAAGUCAGUAAGUUAGUAUGGUAUGUUUUUUCUAUUUAUGGUCAUUAUAGUGCUGCGUUUUAUAAUAAUUGGAGACAUUAUGGAUUGAAGAUGAAAGGCCAAAUAUUUUUCCUUUAUAUCGUAACAAACUCUUGGUAUUGGGAGCCAUGUUUAUGCUGGCUUGUUAAUAGUCAUCAUCGCCGUGACGUUUGUGGUGGGCUAGAAAGGUGUGCCCUACUCACCGCUCCAAUAGACAAGGUCGUCAGGACCUCUUGAGCGCCAAGGGAUCUUAACACAGGGAAGAUGAUUUUAACUGCUAAGGAGCAAAGUAGGUUAUGUCUAUUGGAAUCCAUGGGCAAAAACAAAAACAAUGGUCAUAAGGCAACAAGCAACAUCAGAAACAUGGGCAAAUUCCAAGUAUGGCUUCAUCAUAAAAGACUUGGGCAUCCCUCCUUCAACAUUAUAAAAUCCCUACUCUCUCAUUUGUUCACAAUAGUGUGAUAUUUAUCAACUGUUAAAGCAUCAUGGUACACUUGUCCCAUCUAUAGUAAAAAGGGUAAUUUUCCAUUUGACUUGAUUCACUAUGAUGUUUGAAGACCUAUCGUAGAAUCCAUUUAUGGAGAAAAAUGGUUUAUUACUUUUGUUAAUGAUUGUACUUGUGUCAUGUGGACAUACAUCAUGAAAAGUAAAUCUUGAGGUCUUUCAAACUUUUGUUAA
Long non-coding RNA from Vigna radiata var. radiata (mung bean), 776 nucleotides. RefSeq lists it as uncharacterized. The transcript is spliced from 2 exons. NCBI's taxonomy places the organism in Eukaryota, Viridiplantae, Streptophyta, Magnoliopsida, Fabales, Fabaceae. The record is from RefSeq and is a predicted model, not a curated record.